Small nucleolar RNA from Drosophila melanogaster (fruit fly), 161 nucleotides. Lineage: Eukaryota; Metazoa; Arthropoda; Insecta; Diptera; Drosophilidae. The record is from Ensembl.
UCUUGCGCAUAAGGUGGGAGUUGGGUCGUCCAGUUCUGGGCCUAACUUCGUCGAUCUUUUACUUUUCCGCGCAUAGAUAAAUAAGAUCGGGUAAUCGGGGAAGUACUGCAAAUAUAAGGCUUUUGCAAAACUUUUGGUUUUUUCCUGAAACAGUUUCAAAA